RNAcentral lists this small RNA (432 nucleotides) under uncultured Glomus. RNAcentral's name for it is "SSU rRNA". It matches the Rfam family "Eukaryotic small subunit ribosomal RNA", at positions 569 to 1008 of the family's 1831-position model. The record is from RNAcentral. Lineage: Eukaryota; Fungi; Glomeromycota; Glomeromycetes; Glomerales; Glomeraceae.
AGCAGCCGCGGUAACUCCAGCUCCAAUAGCGUAUAUUAAAGUUGUUGCAGUUAAAAAGCUCGUAGUUGAAUUUCGGGAUCAAUAUGUUGGUCGUGCCUUGGUACGUACUGGCAUUAUCGAUUCCUACCUCCUGAAGAACCUCGAUGUCAUUAAUUUGGUGUCUUGGGGAAUCAGGACUGUUACUUUGAAAAAUUGAGUGUUUAAAGCAGGCUCGCGCUUGAAUACAUUAGCAUGGAAUAAUGAAAUAGGACGUUUGAUUCUAUUUUGUUGGUUUCUAGGAUCGACGUAAUGAUUAAUAGGGAUAGUUGGGGGCAUUAGUAUUCAAUUGUCAGAGGUGAAAUUCUUGGAUUUAUUGAAGACUAACUACUGCAAAAGCAUUUGCCAAGGAUGUUUUCAUUAAUCAAGAACGAAAGUUAGGGGAUCGAAGACGAU